This 776-nucleotide ribosomal RNA is filed under the name uncultured bacterium. RNAcentral describes it as "bacterial SSU rRNA". It matches the Rfam family "Bacterial small subunit ribosomal RNA", at positions 60 to 817 of the family's 1533-position model. The record is from RNAcentral.
AGUCGAACGGAAGUCGUUAUAAAAAGGAUUGAAGAUUUAUCUGAUUGAGAUUUUAUAACAAUGGCUUUAGUGGCGGACUGGUGAGUAACGCGUGAGCAACCUGCCUACUAGAGGGGAAUAACAGUGAGAAAUCAUUGCUAAUACCGCAUAUGUCAUGAACAUCACAUGAUGAAAAUGGGAAAAGAGUAAUCUGCUAGUAGAUGGGCUCGCGUCUGAUUAGAUAGUUGGUGGGGUAACGGCCUACCAAGUCAACGAUCAGUAGCCGGACUGAGAGGUUGAACGGCCACAUUGGGACUGAGAUACGGCCCAGACUCCUACGGGAGGCAGCAGUCGGGAAUAUUGCGCAAUGGAGGAAACUCUGACGCAGUGACGCCGCGUAUAGGAAGAAGGUUUUCGGAUUGUAAACUAUUGUCGUUAGGGAAGAUACAAGACAGUACCUAAGGAGGAAGCUCCGGCUAACUACGUGCCAGCAGCCGCGGUAAUACGUAGGGAGCAAGCGUUAUCCGGAUUUAUUGGGUGUAAAGGGUGCGUAGACGGGACAACAAGUUAGUUGUGAAAUCCCUCGGCUUAACUGAGGAACUGCAACUAAAACUAUUGUUCUUGAGUGUUGGAGAGGAAAGUGGAAUUCCUAGUGUAGCGGUGAAAUGCGUAGAUAUUAGGAGGAACACCGGUGGCGAAGGCGACUUUCUGGACAAUAACUGACGUUGAGGCACGAAAGUGUGGGGAGCAAACAGGAUUAGAUACCCUGGUAGUCCACACCGUAAACGAUGGAUACU